CCCUGGCUUCUAGAAGUACGUGCAUCAAAUUAAAGUUAUCACUGUGCCCAUAAAAGCUUUCCUUCCACUUGGACUAGUUUAGCAGUAUCUUGGGACUCAAAAAACGUUAAAGAUCCAAAAAGAUCAACCGGGACCCCACGGGUCCAUGACCUCACAAUAUGAUUCAGAAGCCGCUAGAAGGUCCAAUAUAUCUAGGACACAUGUCCCGAGGGUAUUGAUCUCGAUCGGAUGGUC
This 234-nucleotide long non-coding RNA is filed under the name Prunus persica (peach). RNAcentral describes it as "long non-coding RNA (PPER_LNC001284)". Lineage: Eukaryota; Viridiplantae; Streptophyta; Magnoliopsida; Rosales; Rosaceae. The record is from RNAcentral.